RNAcentral lists this ribosomal RNA (408 nucleotides) under bacterium enrichment culture clone ALO1_GLFRUDD03GLANY. RNAcentral describes it as "bacterial SSU rRNA". It matches the Rfam family "Bacterial small subunit ribosomal RNA", at positions 9 to 417 of the family's 1533-position model. The record is from RNAcentral.
GAGUUUGAUCAUGGCUCAGAUUGAACGCUGGCGGCAUGCCUUACACAUGCAAGUCGAACGGCAGCACGGGAGCUUGCUCCUGGUGGCGAGUGGCGAACGGGUGAGUAAUGCAUCGGAACGUAUCCUGGAGUGGGGGAUAACGUAGCGAAAGUUACGCUAAUACCGCAUAUUCUGUGAGCAGGAAAGCGGGGGACCUUCGGGCCUCGCGCUCUUGGAGCGGCCGAUGUCGGAUUAGCUAGUUGGUGAGGUAAGGGCUCACCAAGGCGACGAUCCGUAGCAGGUCUGAGAGGAUGAUCUGCCACACUGGAACUGAGACACGGUCCAGACUCCCACGGGAGGCAGCAGUGGGGAAUUUUGGACAAUGGGGGCAACCCUGAUCCAGCCAUGCCGCGUGAGUGAAGAAGGCCU